RNAcentral lists this long non-coding RNA (819 nucleotides) under Pan troglodytes (chimpanzee). Its description in RNAcentral is "lincRNA". The record is from RNAcentral. Lineage: Eukaryota; Metazoa; Chordata; Mammalia; Primates; Hominidae.
CUUCUAGAAGUACACAGUCUAAUGGUGAGAUAGGCAGGAGCCUGACAUCAUGGUGAGCAUCGAGAAAGGAAUAACCUAAGCUGAAGACACGCCUUUUCUUCAGGAGGCCAAGUUCCACGUUCUGUGCAUGCUUUUGGCGAAAGUCAGGCUGUGGCUUGCCUUUUCACUUCUUGUGUCCUGUUUAAGAAAUAUCUACUAUCCCAAGCAUCUGGCAUCUUUCUUGACACAUGUAGCAGUUGCUUUUUGACAGCUUGCUUCUUCAGUGAAUGAAUAAAUUAAUAAAGAGAAAUGUGAUGUUCAGUGAUCCAUUUUGCAGAUUGCAAACUCCUAGAGAAGGGCUCAACAGUGAGUGCUGAGGCUGCACAGAGGAGGAAGGCAGCACAAUGAUGGAAGGCUUCCUAAAGAGAUAACACUAACAAAGUUGACCUUAGAAUUGGAGUGCCUGGGUUAGAACCCUGCUGGUACCACCUGCUUACUGCAUGCUUCUGAUGUGAGUUCAGGAGAAGACACUGGCAAGGACAGCAAAGAACAGGAGAACACUCUAGCUUCCCUGAUAGCAUUCAAGGUGCUGUCCAAACUGACUGUGAUGGCACCCUCCAGACAGACAGCGAUGCCACAUGUUCAAGAUGGCAGAAUCACUAUCAGCUUCAAUUCCUGAAUGACUGCAGAGCAAAAUUUCUUACCCGCAACAUACACUCUAUUUUCAGCCUCCCUGGACUGUUACAUAAUGAUACAUAAAAAUAUUUCUUGUGUUGAGGCAUCCCAAAUUUGAUCUAUUUGUCAUCACAGUCUAUCCUCUGAAUAUAUUUCUGAUCCAAA